CUUUUCUUCACAUGAGGGAGAAGUGUCAUCCCCAGAUCUGGGCAUCCACAAAGCAUGAGCUUUGUGGAAAUGUUUCCCUGGCCUGGGGCACAUAGAAGAAUGCAGUGACAGGGCGGGAUUUGUGUAAAUCCUCCAGUCCAUUUACAGACAGCAUGUUCUCCAUUUACCACGGAAUCCAGGAAGGAUCUGAAUAGAAGAGAAAUUAAGCUGAGGAGACACGAUCUGACUUCACUUCUGAUUUUGAGGAACAGUAAGAACACAAGUGACACUUUCUUGCUGACCAGGAGACCGGAGAUCAGGCAUGUGAUGAGCACCAGGAGUCCCACAAAGCAGGGUUCACUUGCAAUGGAAUUUCCUUCAGGAAGCCUUCACUGACUACUGUUCCCAAGUAUGGACUGGUUCAGAUAAAAUUAUUUAAAAUUUUCAAUUGUCUAUUCUUGUUAUU
RNAcentral lists this long non-coding RNA (445 nucleotides) under Equus asinus (donkey). RNAcentral's name for it is "lncRNA (ENSEASG00005026916.1)". The record is from RNAcentral. Lineage: Eukaryota; Metazoa; Chordata; Mammalia; Perissodactyla; Equidae.